Long non-coding RNA from Camelus dromedarius (Arabian camel), 4248 nucleotides. RefSeq lists it as uncharacterized. The record is from RefSeq and is a predicted model, not a curated record. Lineage: Eukaryota; Metazoa; Chordata; Mammalia; Artiodactyla; Camelidae. The transcript is spliced from 5 exons.
CUUUACAUAAUCCUGUGGUGAGCAGACACAGAAGAGAAUGGGAAAGGUUAUUCAGCAACUUGCUAGCUUUCAUAGAUCAGGUUUUAUUUAUUAUAGCUGGCCUUAACCUGACAGAUUUCAUUGCCCUCUUGAGUACCUGAACGCUGUAUAACACGUGAAAUAUGAGAGCUACUGUAAAUUAAAAAACUACUCAGUAAACUUAUGUGCCCAGCGGGGCAUGGUAGGCAAGAUCUCCCAAAGAGCAGGCAACAAGGCUGGCAGACUUGUCGCUCAGGGGCCUGGGCGGGAACAACAACUAGAGAGGGGAGGUACAGCCUCUGCAGGCUCUUUAAUUGGUAAAAGAAAAUAUUGGCUGUAUUUAUGUAGCCCUCUGCUGGCCAGGGUGUAACCACAGCAGACUUUUCUGUAUUAUUCAAGAACAAAGGGAAAGAUCUGCAAACAUCUUUGACUGUAAAUAUCUUAAUAUUAAACAAAUCUCCUUGAGUUUUGCACAUUUCACAAGAUCUUUGGCUGCUGUAUAGACAAAACUUACCACACUCUGCCAAACUAAAUAUAGUUUAAGAUAUCAACAAACAAUUAGAAGUCUAAUUUAUAUGAAAUCCCAGGGGCCACCCCAAAACUGGGUUGAAACAGCUCCAGCCUACCCAACAUGCCUUCCACUUGGAAGCCUCUCUGAGCCAUAACUCCUUCUUUUGAAUUCCUUCCACUCUUCAGCAAACCAUUCCUGAGUGCCUAGUAUGUGCCAGGCUGUGUACCAAGUGCUGAGGUGCAGUGAUAAGCUCACAGACUGGUCAGGGAGACAGACACAGGCGGUACAGUCCUCCAGUUCGGUAAUUAAUGAUUUUCUUAUCUGUCUUCUACUAGCAUGCAUGUGAGGCAGGGAAGGGCCCACCAUACAGGCAUCUUUGAGACUUCAUUUCUUCCCGUUCUCCCCCUUAAAUUCUCAAGCAUCUAACAAGCACCUGGCAUGUUGUGGGGUUCUCGAUAAACAUUUAUUAGAAUUUAGGACAAUCAAAGAAUGAAAAAGGUAAUGUUUUAUUUCUCAGCAGUGCAUAUAACUGUAUUUAGCUUUACAAAUAUGUAAUUAUAGAGCCAUAAUAAUUGUAAGACAGGAGAAAAGCAAAUUGGUGCAAGUCGACCACGUACUUCAGAAUCCCCUGGAGGAGGAUUCUGGAGUAAUGUGCUGUAUUAGUCUGCUUGAGCUGCAGUAACAAGAUACCACAGGCUGAGGGGCUGAAACAGCAGAACUUUAUUUCUCACAGUUCUGGAGGCUGGGAAGUCCAAGACUAGGGUGCCAGCAUGACUGGGCCUUGGUGAGAGCACUCUUCCUGGCUUGCGGACAACUGCCUUCUUGCAGCCUCUUCUUAUAAGGCCAUAGUCCUAUCAGAUUAGGGCCUAUCAGAUAUCUGUAUGACCUCAUAUAACCUUAAUUCCCUCCUAAUCGUACAAAGGUACAAUGAAGGUGCCCUGUAAGGGGGCCCAUGUGAAGAGGAACUGAGGCCCUCAGCUUAGCCGGCAUCGACUUGCCGGCCAUGCGAGUGAGCCACCUUGGAAGUGGAUCUUCCUGCCCAAAGCAAGCCUCCAGCCAACGUGUGACAACAACUGCUAGAGAAGCUGAGUCAGAACUGUCCACUGGAGACCUUCCCAAAUUUCCAACCAGCAGAAGCUCUGAAGGAGAGUAAAUGAUCAUUGCUAGAAGCCACUAAGUCUUGAGACUCAUCAGCUCUAUUCAGUCUAACAGGGACAAGGAAAAUGGAAAAGAGGCUGAGGGUGACAUUUUUACCUCGGGUGUCUGAGAAGAUGGUGAAAAAAACAAAUGCAGGAAAAGAAAUAUCUAAGAAAAAAUUUAACGAAUUAUGCUUCAGUGUUUGUGUGAAUCAAUGCAACAAAUACUUAUUGGACACCUACUCAUGCUGGGCUCUUCUGGAGAAACAAAGAUAAGAUUCGAUUCCUGCUGCCUGACGAGCCUUCAGCUGAAUAAUGGAGAUGCAUUUUUAUACCACAUUCCAGCUCAGACUUGGGGAAUAAAAAGGAGCUAGCCAAGAGAAGAGCACUCCGGGAAGAGGAAGCAGCCUCUUUGUUGUAAAGGGACCAUAACAAGAAAGAACUUGGCUUUUCCAGUAUUUUAAAGAAGCAGUGGUGAGCAAAGGGUGGAGUGGCUGACUCAAGCUUGGAAAGAGGAAAAAGACUGGCCUCUGGUUGACCCAGAAGAGAGAGGAGGAGUUGUAAUUGGUUGUUAUCACUGUGAACCGUGGGAGCAAAUUAGAGACCAGACUGCAGUUCCAGAGCGGGACCUUCUGUCCAACUCUCCUAAGACAAGAUGAGGGAAGUCUUCAGUUAUGUUGAGAAAUGAAUGCGGGUAAUAUCUGUUUAUUACUUAACGUUUUUAUCUCAAGUAGGAAAUAAAAGGGAACUUAGUUAAAGUUCGGUGUUUCUCUCAGUGUUCUGACCCUUUCACUCACUAUCUUCUAAAAACAACAUAUGAAUAGAUUUGGAGUCUCUAGGGAAGGGGAUGGAUUUUCCCUAAAUGUUGUUAAAAACAGUUCCCUUAAACAAAGACCUAGUCACCGGCACUGCAGGCUCCCCACUUUCCACCUUGUCCCCCUCCAAUAAAUGGCUUUACAUUCCCAAGUCCCACGUGCUCCACAGGAGUCUGCUUAUCUGACCCUUGCCUGAACCACCAGUGUCUGCUCCUUCCCUCUCCCCCGAGUCUGCCUCCUCUCAGUUCCUAGACUGUGAUAAGCUCUUGCUCACCUCACCUCUUUUCCAUAAGCCUUUCUGUCCAUCACUCUGUAUCUUCGUAACACCUUUCAGAGAUCAGCUCAAACGUGGCUUCCUCAAACAAGCUUUUCCUGAUCCCUCUGACUGUAUCAAGUCCUUCAGUCAUACCAUUACACAGCACCCUGCACUUCUGUAUCAUAGCACCUUAUUUAGAGCUACAUAAUUUUAAAUCAAGAUUGGACUAGGUGUUUAAUGUCCACCUCCCAUGCUUUGUUAGGGCAGGGACCAUGUGGUCCUGUCCUCCAGUACCCAGCACUUGCCUUGUGUUUGGCAAACAUUCAAAAACUUGUUCAAUAUGCAUGGAUAAAUUGCAUUCUUAUUUGAAAAAGACUGACACGUAUACAUUCACUCCCUAAGUGUUACACAUUAAAACACCUACUCUGUGCCCAAAGUUGAGGUUCACAAGUUCUCAAGGGGCUUGCCCUCCGUUAGUUGGGUAAAACAUAAACACUGAAUAGGUAUCACCUCUAGUUUUGUCUCCAGCUCCUGGGACAGAGACAUUAAGAAAUAUUCUCACAAAAAUUAAUUACAUCUAAAUCAUUUGGAUGUGAUCGGCUGCAGGCAUUUGGGGAUAAUGCAAAUUGGAAUGUCUAGAAACAAAAGGUUAAAUAAAGAAAUGCCCUCUUUUACUCUUUUAUAAAUGUACACUAACUAUUCCACACUGUAUUUUAAGAGGUAAGCCACCAAGCUGUGUGUAUGUGUGGAAGAGUGCCAACAGUACAAUAGAGGGAGGGAGGGAGCCAAAACCACAGUGGUGAGUGUUCUUUCAUAGCUACUGUUUGGCCUAUGUUAUAGACAAAGUUCAAAAAACUUAAAAAAAAUGCCUGUAGCACCAAAGUGCAAUUAUGCCGCCAAUCCACCUCCAGUCCAGCUUCCUUGACAGCUUUUGAGCGCUUCAGUUUCCACUGGAGUUACGUGAGCCUUAGAAAUGGCUGCCACUUAUGCAUGGGGGCUUGGAUUUCAGUCUAAGCUUACUGAUAGUCUAGAAGUGCCUCACUCAUAGACAGUUUGACUUCUUUUGGUGGCCCAUCUUGAAUAUCCUUUUUAUUUGCUUUCGCCGUGUUUUCCAUUGAGUUGCUUUGCUAGUAAGAAAUAUACCUGUUUAAGAAAGAGACAUAGGAAAAGUAAAUAAAUUCUGUCUUUGCUUCCUUACUUGUGUUUACUAGAUAAAGCACUGCUGGGACUUAAUUUAAAACUGGCUCUUCCAUCAGAUUGCUUCCAUGUCCCCAGACCUAACGUCCACCACAAUGCUGGGACACCAUGAAUCAACUGGAUUCCUGAGUCUGUGUUUGGAAGAGUGCGCUGCAAACAACAGCACUUCAAUAAAUACCUUUUUAAAAAAAUUAAGACAAAACAAAAGCAUAAUUUUCUAUGAACACCAAAAAACUAGGAUCCAAAAGAAUUAGGUUUGAACAGGGUUAUAAAGAGCAAAUAAAAGCAUGUAUUAAAGGGUUUUUAAAUGGCUAA